RNAcentral lists this ribosomal RNA (253 nucleotides) under uncultured bacterium. RNAcentral's name for it is "partial 16S ribosomal RNA". It matches the Rfam family "Bacterial small subunit ribosomal RNA", at positions 524 to 776 of the family's 1533-position model. The record is from RNAcentral.
UACGUAGGGGGCAAGCGUUGUCCGGAAUCAUUGGGCGUAAAGAGCGCGUAGGCGGCCCAGUAAGUCCGCUCUGAAAGUCAGGGGCUCAACCCCUGAAUGCGGGUGGAUACUGCUGGGCUAGAGUCCGGAAGAGGCGAGUGGAAUUCCUGGUGUAGCGGUGGAAUGCGUAGAGAUCCGGAAGAGCACCUGAGGCGAAGGCGGCUUGCUGGGCAUGAUCUGACGCUGAGGCGCGAAAGCGUGGGGAGCAAACAGG